RNAcentral lists this non-coding RNA (24 nucleotides) under Drosophila erecta. Lineage: Eukaryota; Metazoa; Arthropoda; Insecta; Diptera; Drosophilidae. The record is from RNAcentral. RNAcentral also lists the same sequence under 7 other names.
UACCCUGUAGAACCGAAUUUGUGU